AGGAUGAACGCUGGCGGCGUGCUUAAUACAUGCAAGUCGAACGAAGCACCUUGGACAGAAUCCUUCGGGAGGAAGACCAUUGUGACUGAGUGGCGGACGGGUGAGUAACGCGUGGGUAACCUGCCUUGUACAGGGGGAUAACAGUUGGAAACGACUGCUAAUACCGCAUAAGCGCACAGUACCGCAUGGUACGGUGUGAAAAACUCCGGUGGUACAAGAUGGACCCGCGUCUGAUUAGCUGGUUGGUGAGGUAACGGCCCACCAAGGCGACGAUCAGUAGCCGACUUGAGAGAGUGAUCGGCCACAUUGGGACUGAGACACGGCCCAAACUCCUACGGGAGGCAGCAGUAGGGAAUAUUGCACAAUGGGGGAAACCCUGAUGCAGCGACGCCGCGUGAAGGAAGAAGUAUUUCGGUAUGUAAACUUCUAUCAGCAAGGAAGAAAAUGACGGUACUUGACUAAGAAGCCCCGGCUAAAUACGUGCCAGCAGCCGCGGUAAUACGUAUGGGGCAAGCGUUAUCCG
Molecule: ribosomal RNA, 523 nt
Filed under: Eubacterium ventriosum ATCC 27560
Lineage: Bacteria; Bacillati; Bacillota; Clostridia; Eubacteriales; Eubacteriaceae
Description: SSU rRNA
Rfam family: Bacterial small subunit ribosomal RNA
Source: RNAcentral